This 1080-nucleotide long non-coding RNA is filed under the name Citrus x clementina. Its description in RNAcentral is "Citrus clementina (C. clementina) long non-coding RNA (CCLE_LNC004525)". Lineage: Eukaryota; Viridiplantae; Streptophyta; Magnoliopsida; Sapindales; Rutaceae. The record is from RNAcentral.
UAUAAAUAAUAUUAUGUAAUGUAUGGUGCCAUACAUUGUACGAUAUUAAUAUAACACAAUAUUAGUACAAUACAAUCUAAUAUAAUACAUCUUUUAUUAAAUAAAAUAAUACACUUUCAUGCAAUACAAUGUGUCAAACGUAUCCUUAGGAAACAAAUUGUUAUGAUGCAUUUCUCAAUGAUUUAGACAAUUCAAAAAAUGAUAGUAAAAUUUUUUGUGUGGAAAAUAAAAUAACCAGGAUUUAAAUUUCUCUUAAAGUCGAACAUAGCUAAAUAAUUGACCAGUGAUUUAGGUAAGUUUGUAUGGCGAUGUAUAAAUGUUAUGUACCUUCUAAUAUUUAAUAGAUGAAAAGAGUUUACAGUGAUAAAAAGGUUAUUUCGGGCGAACCACUCUUCACAUCAAGACUCCUCAAUUUAGAAAACACUUAUCCUAUAUCUAGAACAUGUUAGUCACAAUAUACAUAUAUAUACACAAAUAAAUUACUACUUUUAACUCCCAAAUAAAUUGUUAGUAAUAUGCCCUAAAGGCCAAUCGAAUGGUGUUUGUUUGUUUAGGGAAUUAUUGUAUUUGAAUAGCAUUUUGAUAUUUAUAAAAUGGAAAAAUUAUCAACAUUCAUAAAUUAAUUUAAUGAAUAUAGUCAAAGAAGUAAAAUAGUUAAGGAACACAUUCUCGAGUUUGUCGAGAAUAUGAAACGUGCAUCCUUUAUACUAUACUUCUAAAAUAGUUCAUAGUGGUGGAUUUAUGAUUGGACAUUAUAAAUUCCUAUAAACACUAGUAUGUGUUAUGACUCCUUAUGGUAUGUGAUACUAAAAUGGAUGGUGAGUUUCAUAUCAUUGACAUGAGAUGUCAAGUCAAACACAUAGGUACUUGUUGAGAGAACGAGUCUACUGAACUUGACCAAAUAUAGUAAGCCAUAUGGUUUUGAGUGUUAAUGGCUUAUUAUACAUUGUGAUAGACACUAUGUUUAGUAAUGGUCUUUAGACCUGAGACAUAACAGAUGUCUUAUACAUAGACAUCUCUGAUAUGUGAAAGCAUAAUGAUUGAUUCUUAAUCAAGGAAGAGAUCUAGCAAUAGCUGUCG